This 403-nucleotide ribosomal RNA is filed under the name uncultured bacterium. Its description in RNAcentral is "partial 16S ribosomal RNA". It matches the Rfam family "Bacterial small subunit ribosomal RNA", at positions 28 to 526 of the family's 1533-position model. The record is from RNAcentral.
GACGAACGCUGGCGGCGUGCCUAAUACAUGCAAGUCGAACGCAGUGGGGACGGGUGAUUAACACGUGGGUAACCUCCCAUCAGAGGGGAUAACACUUGGAAACAGGUGCUAAACCGAUACUGAUGGAUGGUCCAGCGGGGCAUUAGCUAGUUGGUGAGGUAACGGCUCACCGAGGCCACGAUGCAUAGCGGACCUGGGGGGGUGACCGGCCACACUGUGACUGAGACACGGCCCAGCCUCCUACGGGAGGCAGCAGUGGGGAAUCGUGGGCAAUGGGCGAAAGUCUGACCGAGCAAGGCCGCGGGAGUGAAGAAGGUUUUCGGGUCGUAAAACUCUGUUGUGAGAGAAGCGGUAUCUAACCAGGAAGCCACGGCUAACUACGUGCCAGCAGCCGCGGUAAUUC